UACGAAGGGGGCUAGCGUUGUUCGGAUUUACUGGGCGUAAAGCGCACGUAGGCGGAUCUUUAAGUCAGAGGUGAAAUCCCAAGGCUCAACCUUGGAACUGCCUUCGAUACUGGGAGUCUUGAGUCCGGGAGAGGUGAGUGGAACUGCGAGUGUAGAGGUGAAAUUCGUAGAUAUUCGCAAGAACACCAGUGGCGAAGGCGGCCAACUGGACCAAUACUGACGCUGAGGCGCGAAAGCGUGGGGAGCAAACAGG
RNAcentral lists this ribosomal RNA (253 nucleotides) under uncultured bacterium. Its description in RNAcentral is "partial 16S ribosomal RNA". It matches the Rfam family "Bacterial small subunit ribosomal RNA", at positions 524 to 776 of the family's 1533-position model. The record is from RNAcentral.